GUGGCCUAGUGUUUAGAGCAUCCACCUGGGAUGCAGGAUGUCGUGGGUUCAAUCCCCAGCCAAGUCA
Non-coding RNA from Potamilus streckersoni, 67 nucleotides. The record is from the annotation of a GenBank genome assembly. Lineage: Eukaryota; Metazoa; Mollusca; Bivalvia; Unionida; Unionidae.